GACAGCAGCCGCCGCGGGAACACGUAGGUGGCAAGCGUUGUCCGGAAUUAUUGGGCGUAAAGGGCUCGCAGGCGGUUUCUUAAGUCUGAUGUGAAAGCCCCCGGCUCAACCGGGGAGGGUCAUUGGAAACUGGGAAACUUGAGUCCAGAAGAGGAGAGUGGAAUUCCACGUGUAGCGGUGAAAUGCGUAGAGAUGUGGAGGAACACCAGUGGCGAAGGCGACUCUCUGGUCUGUAACUGACGCUGAGGAGCGAAAGCGUGGGGAGCGAACAGGAUUAGAUACCCGCGUAGUCCCUGUCUCUUAUAC
Molecule: ribosomal RNA, 306 nt
Filed under: uncultured bacterium
Lineage: Bacteria
Description: partial 16S ribosomal RNA
Rfam family: Bacterial small subunit ribosomal RNA
Source: RNAcentral